CCCAGGAGAACCACCGCUGUGACUACUGCAACCCUCCCCCCAGAGAAGAGCAGGUGAGAGUCCCAGGGGAACCACCCAGCAGCCACAGUGCAGAAGCCGCAGGGAGCUGCAGCGACCCGCCCACAGGCCCCACUGUCAGCCGUCUACGCCUGAGCAGAUCCAGCAUGGACCCAGAGACCCGAGACCCAGGGACAUAUCACUCCCCAAGCCGAGGUCCGACAGAGCCCAGGGUUCUAGUCCACAACAAGCAGCCACCGGGAGUGAGCCGGCACACACCAAAGCACCCAGCCUCGGACACUGAGAUUGUUUUUAUAUUUUUUUAUUUUUUUUUAUUUCCCCCCCAUGAAGCCGUCUCUCAACAUCAAGUCAAAGCUUAACGAAGUAAAGGCCGCACCUCAGUGUAUAUUAGAUGAACUUCUAGCAGCAUUUUGGGCGUUUACAGUUGACCAUUAUAAUUUCACAGUGACAGUCGAUUAACCAAUGACCAUCACUGAUUGAUGAUGUCAAGUUCAACAGAACAGGUUUUUGUUUUUCUGUCACACAAUAAAAAGUAUUUUGAUAGAAUUUUCCCUUUUUAAUAAUUUCUAUAAACCCUCCAAAUGUUUUGAAAACUUGCUAAAUUUUAACAACCGACCCAAAGCUAUUUUUUUUUCAGGCCAACGUGUUCAAAAGAAGCCUGACUGAGAGGAAACCAGUGGAUUGCAUUGCACAGCAAUACACAGUUUACCCCAAUCCCAUAAAGAAAACACUAAUAACAACAAUAAACAUGUCGGAGCAUAAUGUGUACCCAUGAUGAUGCCCCCUUCACAUUUCUGCCUGCUGCCUCAUAUAUGCAUCCCUAGAACCGGCCCUGUUCCAAACUACAAUGGAUGAUUAGGUCAGCAGACACAUUCAUUCAGGCUGACCUCCCUCCAUCCAGGACGCCAACCUGCUAUUCUUCUUUUUUUUUCUUCUUUAUAUAAUACAAAAAAGUGACUGUACAUACAUAUACAUACUUUUCAUUUUAUCCUUAUUCCUUAUUUUAUUUCCUUUAAAGUUUCUAGAUUUAUACUACUAAUCUCAGUACACUGUGAGUGUCGGGGUUGGAGUUUCUGUUGUCUGUUUUUGUCUGUUUUUUGACUCCUAGUAGGCGCUAGUGGUGGAGACAGGUGUUUUCCAUCUUGGUGAUUGAGUCCUGGAGUACUUAAGCAGGAAGCAGCCAGCAUCUCGUCGCUCGAGUAUUAGCCUCUGUGUGAACUGAACCGGCGACUACCUGGAGGUUACCUAGGCUGGCCCCAGUGGCUUCGUUUCGCACUAGCCUCGCUCCUUGGAUCUCCCCAGGAAGGAUCUUCCACACACACCUACCCGACGCCAAACUCUGGAACUUCCCAGGCUUGCUGCUUCCGGACCCGGAUUCUCCAGAGACCAUUCAACCUAACAUGUCCACCCUCCACCUCUCCGCUGAUGCUUCGCCCGCACUCCAAGCUCUCACCCAAGUAACUAAGAAAUCAUCGGACUUACCAUUGACUCCAUAUUCACUCCUUCUCCAGUUUGAAUCCCUCUCCUUCUGGCGGAUGGCCUACUCCCUCCUAUUGUUCCUGCACACCAUACCGAUCCAUUCUCCUUAAAUAAACCUU
Long non-coding RNA from Girardinichthys multiradiatus, 1616 nucleotides. RefSeq lists it as uncharacterized. Lineage: Eukaryota; Metazoa; Chordata; Actinopteri; Cyprinodontiformes; Goodeidae. The record is from RefSeq and is a predicted model, not a curated record. The transcript has 3 exons.